RNAcentral lists this ribosomal RNA (253 nucleotides) under uncultured bacterium. Its description in RNAcentral is "partial 16S ribosomal RNA". It matches the Rfam family "Bacterial small subunit ribosomal RNA", at positions 524 to 776 of the family's 1533-position model. The record is from RNAcentral.
GACGUAGGGCGCGAGCGUUGUCCGGAUUUAUUGGGCGUAAAGAGCUCGUAGGCGGUCUGUCGCGUCUGCUGUGAAAACUCAGGGCUUAACCCUGAGCUUGCAGUGGGUACGGGCAGACUAGAGUGCGGUAGGGGAGACUGGAAUUCCUGGUGUAGCGGUGAAAUGCGCAGAUAUCAGGAGGGACACCGGUGGCGAAGGCGGGUCUCUGGGCCGUAACUGACGCUGAGGAACGAAAGCGUGGGGAGCGAACAGG